UACGUAGGGGGCAAGCGUUGUCCGGAUUUAUUGGGCGUAAAGAGCGUGUAGGCGGCCAUGCAGGUCAGCUGUGAAAACUCGAGGCUCAACCUCGAGACGUCGGUUGAAACCGUAUGGCUAGAGUCCGGAAGAGGAGAGUGGGAUUCCCGGUGUAGCGGUGAAAUGCGCAGAUAUCGGGAAGAACACCUAUGGCGAAGGCAGCUCUCUGGGACGGUACUGACGCUGAGACGCGAAAGCGUGGGGAGCGAACAGG
This 253-nucleotide ribosomal RNA is filed under the name uncultured bacterium. Its description in RNAcentral is "partial 16S ribosomal RNA". It matches the Rfam family "Bacterial small subunit ribosomal RNA", at positions 524 to 776 of the family's 1533-position model. The record is from RNAcentral.